RNAcentral lists this ribosomal RNA (501 nucleotides) under uncultured bacterium. Its description in RNAcentral is "partial 16S ribosomal RNA". It matches the Rfam family "Bacterial small subunit ribosomal RNA", at positions 30 to 523 of the family's 1533-position model. The record is from RNAcentral.
AUUGAACGCUGGCGGCAGGCUUAACACAUGCAAGUCGAGCGGAGCGAGGGUGCUUGCACCUUAGCUUAGCGGCGGACGGGUGAGUAAUGCUUAGGAAUCUGCCUAUUAGUGGGGGACAACAUUCCGAAAGGAAUGCUAAUACCGCAUACGCCCUACGGGGGAAAGCAGGGGAUCUUCGGACCGUGCGCUAAUAGAUGAGCCUAAGGUGGAUUAGCUAGUUGGUGGGGUAAAGGCCUACCAAGGCGACGAUCUGUAGCGGGUCUGAGAGGAUGAUCCGCCACACUGGGACUGAGACACGGCCCAGACUCCUACGGGAGGCAGCAGUGGGGAAUAUUGGACAAUGGGCGGAAGCCUGAUCCAGCCAUGCCGCGUGUGUGAAGAAGGCCUUUUGGUUGUAAAGCACUUUAAGCGAGGAGGAGGCUACUUAGAUUAAUACUCUGGGAUAGUGGACGUUACUCGCAGAAUAAGCACCGGCUAACUCUGUGCCAGCAGCCGCCGUAA